RNAcentral lists this ribosomal RNA (468 nucleotides) under uncultured bacterium. Its description in RNAcentral is "partial 16S ribosomal RNA". It matches the Rfam family "Bacterial small subunit ribosomal RNA", at positions 28 to 507 of the family's 1533-position model. The record is from RNAcentral.
GACGAACGCUGGCGGCGUGCUUAACACAUGCAAGUCGAACGGACAGGCCCUGCUUUUGUGGGGUGCUCGAGUGGCGAACGGGUGAGUAACACGUGAGUAACCUGCCCUUGACUUUGGGAUAACUUCAGGAAACUGGGGCUAAUACCGGAUAGGAGCUCCUGCUGCAUGGUGGGGGUUGGUAAGUUUCGGCGGUUGGGGAUGGACUCGCGGCUUAUCAGCUUGUUGGUGGGGUAGUGGCUUACCAAGGCUUUGACGGGUAGCCGGCCUGAGAGGGUGACCGGCCACAUUGGGACUGCGGGACGGCCCAGACUCCUACGGGAGGCAGCAGUGGGGAAUAUUGCGCAAUAGGCGGAAGCGUGAUGCAGCAACGCCGCGUGCGUGAUGACGGCCUUCGAGUUGUAAACCGCUUUCGCCUGUGACGAAGCGUGAGUGACGGUAAUGAGUAAGGAAGCACCGGCUAACUACGUG